CAGCAGCCACGGUAAUACGAAGGGGGCUAGCGUUGUUCGGAAUCACUGGGCGUAAAGGGUGCGUAGGCGGGAUUUUAAGUCAGGGGUGAAAUCCCGAGGCUCAACCUCGGAACUGCCUUUGAUACUGGGAUCCUUGAGUCCGGAAGAGGUGAGUGGAACUGCGAGUGUAGAGGUGAAAUUCGUAGAUAUUCGCAAGAACACCGGUGGCGAAGGCGGCUCACUGGUCCGGAACUGACGCUGAGGCACGACAGCAUGGGGAGCAAACAGGAUUAGAGACCCCAGUAGUCCCUGUCUCUUAUAC
Molecule: ribosomal RNA, 301 nt
Filed under: uncultured bacterium
Lineage: Bacteria
Description: partial 16S ribosomal RNA
Rfam family: Bacterial small subunit ribosomal RNA
Source: RNAcentral